Long non-coding RNA from Cucurbita maxima (winter squash), 402 nucleotides. RefSeq lists it as uncharacterized. The record is from RefSeq and is a predicted model, not a curated record. Lineage: Eukaryota; Viridiplantae; Streptophyta; Magnoliopsida; Cucurbitales; Cucurbitaceae. The transcript has 2 exons.
CAUCGGCAAGGAGAUUGAAAAGGCAACAUCCAGCAUCUACCCUCUUCAAAAUGUGUUUAUCCGGAAAGUAAAAAUUUUGAAAGCACCCAAAUUCGAUCUUGGAAAGUUGAUGGAGGUUCAUGGAGACUACUCAGAAGACGUUGGCGUGAAGGUUGAGAGACCUGCUGAUGAAGCUGCAGACGAGGGGCCUACCGAAAUUGUUGGAGCUUAAGUUCAGUUAUGUUGAAUUUCAUUUGAUCUGUUUUUGUUUAGUUUUGCCCCGCUUUGUCACAAACUUAGUUUUAACCCGCUUCUCGAUCUAGUCAGAGAGUUGGUUUUGAGGAUCGCAAUUUUGUGCUACCAAAUCCUUAGUUAAGAAUACUUUCAUUGAAUCAAUUUUAGCAAAUUGCACCGUUUUUUUCA